UAAGCCCUGCUCAGAAGUCAAGAGCAGCAGCGCCGCCGCUCCUUGCAGCCUUUCAUGCCGCAGGCGCUUCUUAUUCUUGUGUCUCGGCCUCUCUGGGCGCCCCGGGACAAAGCCCCCAGAACUCGGUCGCUCCCUUCCCGCUAAAUCCCCUUCGGGGUCAGUGCGCUACCAGCACAGGGCCGCACGCCUCUCCUGCUAGCCGUGUGGCUCUUAAAGAGCCCCACACCCCUCCGCCCCUCGUGCUCCUUCGACCCCCGCCACCCCUCCCCUCUCCUCCGGAUCUAGCCCCCCACGCCGACGCCUGAGGUCCUUGCUGCCCCGAC
This is an unclassified non-coding RNA of Mesocricetus auratus (golden hamster), 323 nucleotides long. Lineage: Eukaryota; Metazoa; Chordata; Mammalia; Rodentia; Cricetidae. The record is from Ensembl.